RNAcentral lists this ribosomal RNA (473 nucleotides) under uncultured bacterium. RNAcentral's name for it is "bacterial SSU rRNA". It matches the Rfam family "Bacterial small subunit ribosomal RNA", at positions 28 to 521 of the family's 1533-position model. The record is from RNAcentral.
GAUGAACGCUAGCGGCAGGCUUAAUACAUGCAAGUCGAACGGUAACAGGUCUUCGGACGCUGACGAGUGGCGCACGGGUGAGGAACACGUACACAAUCUACCUUAUACUGGAGAAUAAUACCCCAUAGUAUUGAGAUAUCGCAUGAUAUUUCAAUUAAAGCUUUGGCGGUUGAAGAUUGUCGUGCGUCUGAUUAGCUAGUUGGUGAGGUAACGGCUCACCAAGGCGACGAUCAGUAGCUGGUCUGAGAGGGUGAUCAGCCACACUGGAACUGAGACACGGUCCAGACUCCUACGGGAGGCAGCAGUAGGGAAUAUUGGACAAUGGGCGGAAGCCUGAUUCAGCCAUCCCGCGUGUAGGAAUAAGGCCCUAUGGGUUGUAAACUACUUUAUUAGGGAAGAAAACUUUGAUUUAUCAGAGCUUGACGGUACCUAAGGAAUAAGACACCGGCUAACUCCGUGCCAGCAGCCGCGGU